GGGCCACAGCUCAGUGGUAGAGCAUCUGCUUUGUGUGCAGAAGGCCCUGGGUUCAAUCCCCGGCAUCUCCA
Non-coding RNA from Podarcis lilfordi (Lilford's wall lizard), 71 nucleotides. Lineage: Eukaryota; Metazoa; Chordata; Lepidosauria; Squamata; Lacertidae. The record is from the annotation of a GenBank genome assembly.